UACGUAGGAUCCAAGCGUUGUCCGGAUUUACUGGGUGUAAAGGGUGCGCAGGCGGACUUGUUAGUCAGGGGUGAAAUCUCACAGCUUAACUGUGAAACUGCCUUUGAUACUGCAAGUCUUGAAUUGGGGAGAGAGUUGUGGAAUUCCGAGUGUAGCAGUGAAAUGUGUAGAUAUUCGGAAGAACACCAGUGGCUAAGGCAGCAACUUGGCCCCAGAUUGACGCUCAGGCACGAAAGCAUGGGGAUCAAACAGG
This 253-nucleotide ribosomal RNA is filed under the name uncultured bacterium. RNAcentral describes it as "partial 16S ribosomal RNA". It matches the Rfam family "Bacterial small subunit ribosomal RNA", at positions 524 to 776 of the family's 1533-position model. The record is from RNAcentral.